This is a long non-coding RNA of Diabrotica virgifera virgifera (western corn rootworm), 974 nucleotides long. RefSeq lists it as uncharacterized. The transcript is spliced from 2 exons. The record is from RefSeq and is a predicted model, not a curated record. NCBI's taxonomy places the organism in Eukaryota, Metazoa, Arthropoda, Insecta, Coleoptera, Chrysomelidae.
GAGUGUACUUGCAAAUAUUACUCAUCAAUUAUAAUAUUGAUUAUUGCAUUAAUCAUCUUUAGUCACAUAGUUCUUCAAUUAUCAAUCUUUUAUAGCAAUGUAGGUCGUCAGUUUCUGACAACCUUCACCUUAUCGUGAAUUGGGUUUCACAGGUACUUAAAUAUAGAAUACAUGAUUCUUAGAAAUCGUCGGGAAAAUUCCAGAGCUUCAAGUAAAAAUCAAAUAGUGCUAAAAUAAAUAAAAUAAGCAGUUGCCACUAGGGCAUCCCUGCCAUUUCGUUCGUUGCAAUCCGUGACUGCACGCAUUGGUUUGUCCUGGUUGGAUCAGAGAGAGCAGCAUAUGUGCCUCCUGAUGAGAGACUAAUAAGUUUCGAAACCGGUAGAGGUGCUUGCUGCACUCUCUGAUUGAACUAUAAUAUAAUGCGGCUGUAGUUUCGUGUUGCAACGAAAUUGAAGUUAUUCAUUUUUUAAUAAAAUAAUUUGUUUAGAAAAUAAAAUAUAGCCUUCAGCCUCGCGUUAAGCAGAUCAACAGCAGAGAACCGCACGCGCUUCGAUACCAGCGCAACCCCACUCAUUUCCACUUCUACUCCGAGGCAUCCAAGUAGGGCAGCCGAGAAUGUAUUUAAGGAGAGAACCGAAGAAGAACAAUCAGUCUUGCGGCGAUCAAGCUCUAGACUCACUGGCUAACCAGUGUAGUCAACAGGUAGGCCAAUCUGGGUGGUGGAACUCUGUAGUGAAGAGCUCGUAAUUGAACAGGAUCCGUGUAGCCGUGGAGUGAACGGUUACCGCCAUCUCCGAUUCGGAGUUGUAUGGGUGUCUGUAUAGUUAUUGAUAUUUUGAUUGUAGUAUUUGUGCUUACACUGGAGUGAAGUGUGAGGACACGACCGGCAAGCGAAACGGAGCGAAGAUAUAAUGAUAUGUUAUUUUAAGUUUAAACUGUAUAUAAAUAUCCUCAAUAUAUUUAUUUUAUUUUAA